This 854-nucleotide long non-coding RNA is filed under the name Nicotiana tabacum (common tobacco). RNAcentral's name for it is "long non-coding RNA (NTAB_LNC001442)". Lineage: Eukaryota; Viridiplantae; Streptophyta; Magnoliopsida; Solanales; Solanaceae. The record is from RNAcentral.
AUGCUUUCAGUACUGUAUCCAAAGAACAAAAGUAGUGAUCGAGUAAUUGUACUCGGAACAAAUUUGAACAAUUUAAAAGAUGUCAACAUAAAAUUGCACCAAGAUCGCUCAUAACUCAAAUUAAUUCCUUUAACUUGUACAAUAAAUACAACGACAACGUGGAUCCAUCUUUUCACAACUCAAGCAUUCCCUUGCCAGUAAUUGAACUGACAUCCUUCAAAAGCUACACAAAAAUUCCACAUAAGAAUUAUAACAAUAUAAUAAAGGAAAAAAGUAAAAGUGCCCUUGUAUACUUUUUUUCAACUCCAUUAUUUCUAGUCUUAUGGAUUGUAACAAGCAAGAAUUAUUAUAAUAAUAGUACUUCGUUAGAUUAUGGAAUUCAAAGCUAAGAACUUUACCAGGAACAUGACAAACUAUUGCAACUCAGUUCUGUGUAAGCAGUUGCAUCAUCCUGCUUCUGGUGCAAAAACGGAGGAUAUCAGUUAGAAGAAAUUUCCCAAAGCAACAAAGAUCUCAUAAAACUUCUACUAAACAUACGAUAAGUGAUCAUCAUCGCAAACCUGAAUCUAUCUUUUCCGAAAUUGAUACUAACAUAAAAGUUAACCUAUUCAAGCACCAUAAGGCAAGACAUCUCCAUUUCUUUCAAAGGCCCUUUUUCAACUGAAACAUGAGGAAGAAAAAGUGUCACAAUCUCAAAAGGAUGACAACUUGUCUUAUUCUUUUCUGCAACUCAUUUAAAAGCGAAAAUUGAAUAAGUAAGGCAUGUCAUGGCUACAUUACCACUUAUCAGUGUCAAGAAUGUUAGCAUCCAUAUUACGGUGACAUAAAACGUAUGAAGAAGGGAUAAAACAGAG